CUCAGUAACUUUUCCUCUGGACAGGUUUUGAGAAAUUUCUCCCCUUGUCCCAAAGUAAAAAGAGGAAUAUAAAUGAUCAAAGGGUAGAAUAUACAGCAAACAUCAUGGUACCGAUAAAGAGCUACAGCUCGUCCAGCGGAAAAAUAAUCCCUCACACAACUGGGAGGUGUCAGGAGAAACCUGGCGGCAGUGGUGGUGGACCUUCCCUCUCUCUGAUCUCCGGACAAUGUGGCUCUUCACACCUACGACAAUACACCGAGACAUAAAGCUCCAGCAGGGGCUUCCAGCUAUUCACAGGGGACCAAAGAAAUGUAUUCAUUUUACAGCCUUCAAUGGAGAAGACAUCACUUUGAUCCACCAAUGAUCUUCUAUGGGAUAUGUGUUUCCAGUGAAUUUCCAUUUCAGAAAGUGCUACAGCUGUCUUGAUGCCAUGUCUCUUCUACAUUGUUGCCAGGAUUAAAGACUUUUUAUGAAUAAACUUUAUCCCUCCUGUUUCACCC
Molecule: long non-coding RNA, 500 nt
Organism: Hyla sarda
Lineage: Eukaryota; Metazoa; Chordata; Amphibia; Anura; Hylidae
Exons: 3
Source: RefSeq, a predicted model, not a curated record